This 402-nucleotide long non-coding RNA is filed under the name Equus asinus (donkey). RNAcentral's name for it is "lncRNA (ENSEASG00005025581.1)". The record is from RNAcentral. Lineage: Eukaryota; Metazoa; Chordata; Mammalia; Perissodactyla; Equidae.
CUAGAAUGUUUUCAGCAGUCACUGAAAGAAAAACGGACUCAUAGAGGCUGAAAACAGUCUUCAGAUGUGAAACUUUCUCAUGAAAAGAGUGGCUGUGCCGUUUUGUGUUCCCAUGAGCAGUGAAUGAGAGUUCCUGUUGCUCCACGUGCUUGUCAACUUUUGGUGUUGUCCGUGCUUUGAAGUUUAGCCAUUCUAACAGUGUUGGGCUUGGUCAUGUAACUUGCUUUAGCCAAUGGAAUGUGGCAGAAGUGACAUUUUGACAGCUCUGGACUUUAAAAGACCUUGCAAGUUUCUGCCAACUUGUGGAGCACACCUAAAUCCAAUUCACAGCCUGAAGCACAGCUUCAGCACACAAGCUACAGCCAACACAAGCAAUGCGAAUGAGAGGUAAGCAUUUGUAAC